Molecule: ribosomal RNA, 681 nt
Filed under: uncultured bacterium
Lineage: Bacteria
Description: bacterial SSU rRNA
Rfam family: Bacterial small subunit ribosomal RNA
Source: RNAcentral
CAAGUCGAGCGGGGGAGGUAGCUUGCUACUGGACCUAGCGGCGGACGGGUGAGUAAUGCUUAGGAAUCUGCCUAUUAGUGGGGGACAACAUUCCGAAAGGAAUGCUAAUACCGCAUACGUCCUACGGGAGAAAGCAGGGGACCUUCGGGCCUUGCGCUAAUAGAUGAGCCUAAGUCGGAUUAGCUAGUUGGUGGGGUAAAGGCCUACCAAGGCGACGAUCUGUAGCGGGUCUGAGAGGAUGAUCCGCCACACUGGGACUGAGACACGGCCCAGACUCCUACGGGAGGCAGCAGUGGGGAAUAUUGGACAAUGGGGGGAACCCUGAUCCAGCCAUGCCGCGUGUGUGAAGAAGGCCUUAUGGUUGUAAAGCACUUUAAGCGAGGAGGAGGCUACUAGUAUUAAUACUACUGGAUAGUGGACGUUACUCGCAGAAUAAGCACCGGCUAACUCUGUGCCAGCAGCCGCGGUAAUACAGAGGGUGCGAGCGUUAAUCGGAUUUACUGGGCGUAAAGCGUGCGUAGGCGGCCAUUUAAGUCAAAUGUGAAAUCCCCGAGCUUAACUUGGGAAUUGCAUUCGAUACUGGAUGGCUAGAGUAUGGGAGAGGAUGGUAGAAUUCCAGGUGUAGCGGUGAAAUGCGUAGAGAUCUGGAGGAAUACCGAUGGCGAAGGCAGCCAUCUGGCC